UACGGGGGGGGCAAGCGUUGUUCGGAAUUACUGGGCGUAAAGGGCGCGUAGGCGGUUGGAUAAGUCAGCUGCGAAAACCACGGGCUUAACUCGUGGCCUGCAGUUGAGACUGUCUGGCUUGAGUGUGGGAGAGGAGAGUGGAAUUCCUGGUGUAGCGGUGAAAUGCGUAGAUAUCAGGAGGAACACCGGUGGCGAAGGCGGCUCUCUGGACCACAACUGACGCUGAGGCGCGAAAGCUAGGGGAGCAAACAGG
Molecule: ribosomal RNA, 253 nt
Filed under: uncultured bacterium
Lineage: Bacteria
Description: partial 16S ribosomal RNA
Rfam family: Bacterial small subunit ribosomal RNA
Source: RNAcentral